AUGCAACGCGAAGAACCUUACCAGGGCUUGACAUCCUGCGAACCUCUGGGAAACCGGAGGGUGCCUUCGGGAACGCAGUGACAGGUGGUGCAUGGCUGUCGUCAGCUCGUGUCGUGAGAUGUUGGGUUAAGUCCCGCAACGAGCGCAACCCACGUCUUUAGUUGCCAGCAUUUAGUUGGGCACUCUAGAGAGACCGCCGGUGACAAACCGGAGGAAGGUGUGGAUGACGUCAAGUCAUCAUGCCCCUUACGUCCUGGGCUACACACGUACUACAAUGCUACGGACAAAGGGCAGCAAGUUCGCGAGGACAAGCAAAUCCCAUAAACCGUGGCUCAGUUCAGAUCGUAGGCUGCAACUCGCCUACGUGAAGGAGGAAUCGCUAGUAAUCGCAGGUCAGCAUACUGCGGUGAAUACGUUCCCGGGCCUUGUGCACACCGCCCGUCACACCAUGGAAGUUGGCCACGCCCGAAGUCGUUACUCCAACCCUCUGGGAGGAGGACGCCGAAGGUGGGGCUGAUGACUGGGGUGAAGUCGUAACAAGGUAGCCUAC
This 550-nucleotide ribosomal RNA is filed under the name uncultured bacterium. RNAcentral's name for it is "bacterial SSU rRNA". It matches the Rfam family "Bacterial small subunit ribosomal RNA", at positions 954 to 1504 of the family's 1533-position model. The record is from RNAcentral.